AAUCUGCCCUACACAAGAGGACAACAGUUGGAAACGACUGCUAAUACUCUAUACUCCUGCUUAACACAAGUUGAGUAGGGAAAGUUUUUCGGUGUAGGAUGAGACUAUAUAGUAUCAGCUAGUUGGUAAGGUAAUGGCUUACCAAGGCUAUGACGCUUAACUGGUCUGAGAGGAUGAUCAGUCACACUGGAACUGAGACACGGUCCAGACUCCUACGGGAGGCAGCAGUAGGGAAUAUUGCGCAAUGGGGGAAACCCUGACGCAGCAACGCCGCGUGGAGGAUGACACUUUUCGGAGCGUAAACUCCUUUUCUUAGGGAAGAAUUCUGACGGUACCUAAGGAAUAAGCACCGGCUAACUCCGUGCCAGCAGCCGCGGUAAUACGGAGGGUGCAAGCGUUACUCGGAAUCACUGGGCGUAAAGGGCGCGUAGGCGGAUUAUCAAGUCUCUUGUGAAAUCUAAUGGCUUAACCAUUAAAC
RNAcentral lists this ribosomal RNA (478 nucleotides) under Campylobacter coli. RNAcentral describes it as "bacterial SSU rRNA". It matches the Rfam family "Bacterial small subunit ribosomal RNA", at positions 123 to 621 of the family's 1533-position model. The record is from RNAcentral. Lineage: Bacteria; Pseudomonadati; Campylobacterota; Epsilonproteobacteria; Campylobacterales; Campylobacteraceae.